Non-coding RNA from Zonotrichia albicollis (white-throated sparrow), 432 nucleotides. The record is from RefSeq and is a predicted model, not a curated record. Lineage: Eukaryota; Metazoa; Chordata; Aves; Passeriformes; Passerellidae.
CUCCGCCCCCUCCAGUCCCCUCCCUCCCCCCCAUGGCACGAUCGACGUGUCAGCCCCAAAAGUUCAUUUCCAGGCCCUGGGAGAGUCCCCUAUAAAGGUCCCGGGGCGUGCGUGGCACAGUGAGACGUGGCAGUGCGGGGCUGCAGCCGGGGCGCGCAGGCAUCUCCGCAGCCAAUUCCCUGAACUGAAACUUUCAAAAUGAAGAGGAAGAUAAGAGUGAGAAUGAAGAAUGCCUUGGAGAAAUCCAGUCAUAAAGUUUGAGGAGUAGAAAUAAUAGGAAAUAUUAAUAACUCUGGUCUCUUACAUAGGUCAGAAUUCAGACUGAAAUGAUGUAAAGUUACAAACCUGAGACAUAAGGGCUAUUAAAUUUGAAUCAAGAUUCACAGAUUUUUAAAUUAAUACAUAAUAAAAAUAUUUGCUUCUUCUCCUCUA